Molecule: ribosomal RNA, 117 nt
Filed under: Actinomycetota bacterium
Lineage: Bacteria; Bacillati; Actinomycetota
Source: RNAcentral
UUCGGUGGCCAUAGCGGCGGGGUCACACCCGUUCCCAUCCCGAACACGGCAGUUAAGCCCGCCAGCGCCAAUGGUACUUGGAGGUAGACCUCCUGGGAGAGUAGGACGCCGCCGAAU